CACUUCCUACGGGAGGCAGCAGUGGGGGAUAUUGGGCAAUGGGGGAAACCCUGAUGCAGCAACGCCGCGUGAGUGAAGAAGGUUUUCGGAUUGUAAAGCUCUGUUAGCAGGGAAGAGGAAGGACGGUACCUGCAGAGGAAGCCACGGCUAACUACGUGCCAGCAGCCGCGGUAAUACGUAGGUGGCAAGCGUUGUUCGGAAUAACUGGGCGUAAAGGAUGCGUAGGCGGUUAAACAAGUUAUAUGUUAAAUAUAUAGGCUUAACCUGUAGAAAGCAUAUAAAACUGUUUAA
Molecule: ribosomal RNA, 291 nt
Filed under: uncultured bacterium
Lineage: Bacteria
Description: partial 16S ribosomal RNA
Rfam family: Bacterial small subunit ribosomal RNA
Source: RNAcentral